RNAcentral lists this long non-coding RNA (971 nucleotides) under Brassica napus (rape). RNAcentral describes it as "long non-coding RNA (BNAP_LNC003774)". Lineage: Eukaryota; Viridiplantae; Streptophyta; Magnoliopsida; Brassicales; Brassicaceae. The record is from RNAcentral.
UGAAAGUGGGCCAAAUGGCAACCAUUCUCUCUCUCUCUCUCUUUGCUCUACCAUCUCACUAGAAACCUCUUAGAACUGAAAAUCAUUUUCGGUGACCGGUGGUUUUAUCGCCGCCGGUUACCAAUCUCUUUUUGUUUUUUUUUUUGAUGUAAAAUAGUUACUCGAUCUAUAGAUCGACUUGUUUGCUUCGCUUUGGCGAAUUUACAUUUCUCUUUUCACGUUUGGUGAGCUUUUGAGGUGUUAAUCCCAAUCAAAUCGGAACUGAUCAUCACUCUUAUGUUUUUUUCCGAUGUAGAUUGAGUAUAUAUAAAUAUCCCCCCUUUCACAACUAAUAUUAAUCCCGUUUACUUUUGAGCUGGGUUCUCUCUUUCUGUGGUUAGCUCAGAUCCCUUUUCUACGGGUGUAAAGCUCACUCUUUUAAAGCUAUUCCUUAGCAUAUGAGUGAUGUAUCCCGUAUGAAAGGAAUGAUUGAAAUGUUGGUUUAUCUUGAUCGUUGUAUGAGGGAUUUAGUAUAGUUGGCAUCUUUUUUUGAUUGAAGAUAGUCCAAUAAAAAAUCUACUCUAGUUCGAUCAAGUUUUCCCUGUGGUCAAAUAACCAGAGAUUGUUGGAGUCUCAACUUGGAGCGACGGUUAUGGUGGAAGGGUAAGCUUAGAAAGUACAAUUCAUGGCAACAAUCGACGUGUUUGAACAAGAGAAAGAAAGCUCCGCCGGUGAGAAGACGUCGGAAUACAUCGGAAACAUGAAGUAUGCCGGAGAAACUGGAACUUUCAAGCAGAGCCGUGCUUACAGCCUAUUAAAAAAGGCAUUCGCCUAGGCAGGGCCCCCAAAUUUUGUAAGAGAGCACUAUUCGCCUCGGGCCACUAUAUAGAUUUAUCUCGCAACAAAAAAUGAGCGGAUAACAUAAUUAACCGUACAUUGGAUGAUUCAAAUUUUAUCAUUGCGCUAGCCGUAAUCUGAAAGCCGAUCCGGAC